CAGCAGCACGGUAAUACAGAGGGUGCGAGCGUUAAUCGGAUUUACUGGGCGUAAAGCGUGCGUAGGCGGCUUCUUAAGUCGGAUGUGAAAUCCCUGAGCUUAACUUAGGAAUUGCAUUCGAUACUGGGAAGCUAGAGUAUGGGAGAGGAUGGUAGAAUUCCAGGUGUAGCGGUGAAAUGCGUAGAGAUCUGGAGGAAUACCGAUGGCGAAGGCAGCCAUCUGGCCUAAUACUGACGCUGAGGUACGAAAGCAUGGGGAGCAAACAGGAUUAGAUACCCCAGUAGUCCCUGUCUCUUAUACA
RNAcentral lists this ribosomal RNA (301 nucleotides) under uncultured bacterium. RNAcentral describes it as "partial 16S ribosomal RNA". It matches the Rfam family "Bacterial small subunit ribosomal RNA", at positions 509 to 808 of the family's 1533-position model. The record is from RNAcentral.